UAUCGCAAAUAAGUGAGUGAUCCUUUCAGUGAUAUAUAAGAUAAGUGAAACUAACACUAAGGUGCACAUAUGUGCUGAAAACAUUUUUCCAUCAUUAAAGAAUACAGAGUUUAUCUUUACGGAUGAAAAUGAUGCUAAACUUCAACCAGACAUUUUAUCAGAAUUUGUUAGAAUAAAUCCACGAGGCGUUAUUAUAAAAAUUAAAACAACGACAAAUAUUGAUAUUUCAUUGUCGCAUAUCCCUAAAGAAGUAAAUCAACCAUCUACAAGUUCAGAUGUAGAUACAUGUUCUAUUAGAAGUUCCGUUCUAUUAGAGUUCUCAAAUAGUGAGUAUGAAGAAAAUGCAUCGUCUUCCAAAAAAUAUAAAUUAGAUGCUACCGUUUCUGAAAGUAAUGAAGUUAUAUCAAAAGAGAAGUUGCAUGAAAUAAUAA
Non-coding RNA from Nylanderia fulva, 431 nucleotides. The record is from RefSeq and is a predicted model, not a curated record. NCBI's taxonomy places the organism in Eukaryota, Metazoa, Arthropoda, Insecta, Hymenoptera, Formicidae.